Bos taurus (domestic cattle) is the source of this 72-nucleotide non-coding RNA. NCBI's taxonomy places the organism in Eukaryota, Metazoa, Chordata, Mammalia, Artiodactyla, Bovidae. The record is from Rfam.
UCCCUGAUAGUUUAGUUGGUAAAGAAUCUGCCUGCAAUGCAGGAGACCCUAGUUCAAUUCCUGGGUUGGGAA